Molecule: long non-coding RNA, 584 nt
Organism: Oxyura jamaicensis (ruddy duck)
Lineage: Eukaryota; Metazoa; Chordata; Aves; Anseriformes; Anatidae
Exons: 3
Source: RefSeq, a predicted model, not a curated record
UAAAAGACAAACACCACAUAAGCUGUAAGUCUUUGUGACAGUAAGAAUUGCUCAGCAAGAAUAUUUUAUGGCCUUUUCACUUUAAAGAGAGAUGAUUUUCUGAUUGUUCUUCACCAGGGAUACUGAAGCAACCUGGCCCAGACUGGGGCCCCAACCUGUUGGGUUCCUCCUGUACAGAUGCAGAAUGAAAGCAGCUCUUGAAAGCAGAACAUUUCCAAUACAAAAGAGCCCUCACCUCAAACGGCUCUCAGCGCCCUACAGGACACUGACCAAACUAAACCACCGCACACUCCUGGCCACUCCUUUCCAGCACAGUGCCGGACAAUUGUCCAUGCCCUACAGGACAGGUAAGAUCACCCCAACCCACACCCACCAGGCUCUAACAGCAAGCAGCCAGGUGACACAAUCGGGCCCAGAUGGGAGUGACCGCUCCAUCAGGAUGACGGGACAUGGACGGACAUGGUGAGAUGCUCGAGACCCUCGGGCACAGAGGCAGGGGGAGCCCGGGGUCACAGGGGGAUGCUGCUCCGUUUGUUCCUUCUCUUAUUAAAGGAAGACACACACAGCGAUGGGACCAAACUACG